AACACAUGCAAGUCGAGCGGAAAGGCCCUUCGGGGUACUCGAGCGGCGAACGGGUGAGUAACACGUGAGCAACCUGCCCCUAGCUCUGGGAUAGCUCCGGGAAACCGGGAUUAAUACCAGAUACGACCACUUUAGACAUCUGCCGUGGUGGAAAGGAUUCCGGCUAGGGAUGGGCUCGCGGCCUAUCAGCUUGUUGGUGGGGUAAAGGCCUACCAAGGCGACGACGGGUAGCCGGCCUGAGAGGGCGACCGGCCACACUGGGACUGAGACACGGCCCAGACUCCUACGGGAGGCAGCAGUGGGGAAUAUUGCGCAAUGGGCGAAAGCCUGACGCAGCGACGCCGCGUGAGGGAUGAAGGCCUUCGGGUUGUAAACCUCUUUCAGCAGGGACGAAGCGAAAGUGACGGUACCUGCAGAAGAAG
RNAcentral lists this ribosomal RNA (422 nucleotides) under grassland soil clone saf1_203. RNAcentral describes it as "bacterial SSU rRNA". It matches the Rfam family "Bacterial small subunit ribosomal RNA", at positions 50 to 490 of the family's 1533-position model. The record is from RNAcentral.